AACGAACGCUGGCGGCGUGGAUAAGACAUGCAAGUCGAACGGGAUUAUUUUUGUAGCAAUACAGAAAUAAUUCAGUGGCGAACGGGUGCGUAACACGUGGGCAAUCUGCCGAAAAGUGGGGAGUAGCUCGCCGAAAGGCGAAUUAAUACCGCAUGUGGUGAGGGACGACAUCUUCCUGAAUACCAAAGCCGGGGCAACCUGGCGCUUUUGAGGAGCCCGCGGCCUAUCAGCUUGUUGGCGGGGUAACGGCCCACCAAGGCUAUGACGGGUAGCUGGUCUGAGAGGACGACCAGUCACACUGGAACUGAGACACGGUCCAGACACCUACGGGUGGCAGCAGUCGAGAAUUUUUC
RNAcentral lists this ribosomal RNA (353 nucleotides) under uncultured bacterium. RNAcentral's name for it is "bacterial SSU rRNA". It matches the Rfam family "Bacterial small subunit ribosomal RNA", at positions 29 to 367 of the family's 1533-position model. The record is from RNAcentral.